Molecule: non-coding RNA, 264 nt
Organism: Vicia faba (fava bean)
Lineage: Eukaryota; Viridiplantae; Streptophyta; Magnoliopsida; Fabales; Fabaceae
Source: the annotation of a GenBank genome assembly
AUGAAUAAAGAAAAAUAUCAACAAAAAAAAAUUACGACUAUUGGUUACACACAGACUAUGCUAGGAAUGCAUCCGCCUUUUGAUUUUUGUAUUCAAGCAUUUCCGCAUCACCAGCACGGUGAUAUAAAAAUAAAUGUAAGAGCAUUGAGAGCAGCACAUAAAAGUUGGUCGGAUUCUAAUGCUGUGAGCUGCACUAAUUCCAUUUCCGUCGGAGUAGCAACAAAUCCUAAAGCAAGAUGUGGCUGUACAGAGUUUUUCAUUUGA